Magnolia sinica is the source of this 1442-nucleotide long non-coding RNA. RefSeq lists it as uncharacterized. Lineage: Eukaryota; Viridiplantae; Streptophyta; Magnoliopsida; Magnoliales; Magnoliaceae. The transcript is spliced from 4 exons. The record is from RefSeq and is a predicted model, not a curated record.
CAGGAACAUCUUUGCCAUAGAACUCUAGUAGUUUUCUAUUUGUUUCCUCAAAUCAUACCCAUUUUUUUCAGAUCCUCUUUGUUGAAAGGUAGGAGAACCAUUUUCCAAGAAAACAUUAUCACAAUUCACAGCAAUUUCAUUAUGUUCAAAGGCUCACAUCUUGCUAAUCAUUUAAAUUUGUACCCUUUUUAUACUAUAAAACCCUUAAAAUUAGUUUAAGUUGGAAGCGUGAUCUACUCUGUUGAUGGGUUAAUCUUAGAUACUACAAAUCACUAAGCCAUAAACCAAGAAUUAUGUAAUACUUCAUCCCAUACUGAACAAAUCAUGUUUGCACUACAUUGAUUUUUUUAUCUCAAUGUGAAUGUGGUGCAUCAUUAUAUUUUUCUUACUAGUAAGUGACUAAAAAUCCUCAAAGCCAUUGGUACUUGUACCAUCCCACAUUUUGCUUCCUUCUUGUGAUAUCUAUGGUCCAAUAUAUGAUUCCAUCUUUGAUAAGAGCCUUUUGCAGCCAGCUUCUAUCAGAUUAUUUUAGACUGACCCCAUCUUGUGUGCAAUAUCAAACUGUGGUAAAAGGCAAUGUAGGAUCCAGAAAUUCAGAACAUUCUAUCUGACCCCAUCUUGUGUGCAAUAUCAAACUGCAGGUUUUUGCCCACAAAAGAUAACCUGAGGAGAAGGGAAAUGGACAGAGAAGUGCAAGCUAUUAUGAGAAGAGGGAGAUGGCUAUGAAAAUGGGAGAAGCUCAUAUUGCUAAUGGAAUCUAAUUUCAAAGAAUCCCAAGAUCAAGGGAACUCCAAGAGCAUGACUAUUGAAGAUGCGAUAGUGGGUCCUCUGUAACCACAUGAAACCACUAAUCUGGAAUGCAUCACUAGCUGUCUGCUCUUUCCUGCCUAUAGUGGGUCCUCUGUAACCACAAAAAACUGUAGAAUGGGAAGAGUCAUUGGCCACUAUGGUAAGAUCAUUAGGAAGGGUUGAGAAGUUUCUAGAGAUUUUAGAGGAUAAUGCUGGUUGAUGCUUCAGUUGUUUUAGUAUUUCCAAAACAGCUAAAAGAAAUAGGUAACUCGGCUUAAUUCAAGCUAUCCAGGUGGUUUGGCAUCAUAUAUUCAAAAUGCUAGGAAUCUAUUAGCAGAUUCAAAAGCAGGGAAAAAUCCAUUUGAUGGCUUUACUCCUUCGUGUUCUCGUUCACAGUGGUGGCGUACAUGGUGGACACUAUUAUGCUUUCAAUGGGAAAUUGUCCUUGAUGAGUCAAGUGGCAGAGUUUAUUUGGGAAAGGUGUCUUCGUAACUUGUUUCUAUUGUCUGCAUAUCUUGUUUAGAAGAAAUGAUGAAUUGCUGCUGAUCAAUAAGGCGAAAUGAGAAAGUUUUUUUUUCUUUUUUCUUUAGGGAGUUGUGAUCAAUGUGGCAAGAGACCGUGCUCUGUGGGCCCUGCAUGAUAAAUUUGUUUUA